RNAcentral lists this ribosomal RNA (432 nucleotides) under uncultured bacterium. Its description in RNAcentral is "partial 16S ribosomal RNA". It matches the Rfam family "Bacterial small subunit ribosomal RNA", at positions 29 to 506 of the family's 1533-position model. The record is from RNAcentral.
AACGAACGCUGGCGGCAUGCCUAACACAUGCAAGUCGAACGAGACCUUCGGGUCUAGUGGCGCACGGGUGCGUAACGCGUGGGAACCUGCCCUUAGGUUCGGAAUAACUCCCCGAAAGGGGUGCUAAUACCGGAUAAUGUCUUCGGACCAAAGAUUUAUCGCCUUUGGAUGGGCUCGCGUUGGAUUAGCUAGUUGGUAGGGUAAAAGCCUACCAAGGCGACGAUCCAUAGCUGGUCUGAGAGGAUGAUCAGCCACACUGGGACUGAGACACGGCCCAGACUCCUACGGGAGGCAGCAGUGGGGAAUAAUGGACAAUGGGCGAAAGCCUGAUCCAGCAAUGCCGCGUGAGUGAUGAAGGCCUUAGGGUUGUAAAGCUCUUUUACCCGGGAUGAUAAUGACAGUACCGGGAGAAUAAGCUCCGGCUAACUCCGU